AGCGAACGCUGGCGGCAGGCCUAACACAUGCAAGUCGAACGAACCUUUCGGGGUUAGUGGCGGACGGGUGAGUAACACGUGGGAACGUGCCUUUAGGUUCGGAAUACCUCAGUUAAACUUGUGCUAAUACCGAAUGUGCCCUUCUGGGGAAAGAUUUAUCGCCUUUAGAGCGGCCCGCGUCUGAUUAGCUAGUUGGUUGAGGUAAUGGCUCACCAAGGCGACGAUCAGUAGCUGGUCUGAGAGGAUGAUCAGCCACAUUGGGACUGAGACACGGCCCAAAAUCCUACGGGAGGCAGCAGUGGGGAAUCUUGCGAAAUGGGCGAAAGGCUGACGCAGCCAUGCCGCGUGAAUGAUGAAGGUCUGAGGAUUGUAAAAUUCUUUCACCGGGGACGAUAAUGACGGUACCCGGAGAAGAAGCCCCGGCUAACUUCGUG
RNAcentral lists this ribosomal RNA (434 nucleotides) under uncultured bacterium. Its description in RNAcentral is "partial 16S ribosomal RNA". It matches the Rfam family "Bacterial small subunit ribosomal RNA", at positions 29 to 507 of the family's 1533-position model. The record is from RNAcentral.